RNAcentral lists this ribosomal RNA (292 nucleotides) under uncultured bacterium. RNAcentral's name for it is "partial 16S ribosomal RNA". The record is from RNAcentral.
GGACUACUCGGGUUUCUAAUCCUGUUCGCUCCCCACGCUUUCGCUCCUCAGCGUCAGUUACUGCCCAGAGACCCGCCUUCGCCACCGGUGUUCCUCCUGAUAUCUGCGCAUUCCACCGCUACACCAGGAAUUCCAGUCUCCCCUGCAGUACUCUAGUCUGCCCGUAUCGCCCGCACGCCGAGGGUUAAGCCCCCGGUUUUCACGAACAACGCGACAAACCACCUACGAGCUCUUUACGCCCAGUAAUUCCGGACAACGCUCGCACCCUACGUAUUACCGCGGCGGCUGGCAC